Molecule: ribosomal RNA, 1360 nt
Filed under: uncultured marine eukaryote
Lineage: Eukaryota
Description: SSU rRNA
Rfam family: Eukaryotic small subunit ribosomal RNA
Source: RNAcentral
AAACACAACAAAGGAGGAGCAGGCGCGCAAUUACCCACUCCUGACUCAGGGAGGUAGUGACAAGAAAUAACAAUAAACCGGCUUAUGCCGGUUUAAUUGGAAUGAGUACAAUUUAAACAUCUUAACGAGGAACAAUUGGAGGGCAAGUCUGGUGCCAGCAGCCGCGGUAAUUCCAGCUCCAAUAGCGUAUACUAAAGUUGUUGCAGUUAAAAAGCUCGUAGUUGGAUUUCUGUGGGGACGGAGCGGCCGGCCGCAACACGCGGUUCGAGCUAGCGCUUUCCCUACAUCCUGCCGCGAACCGUGCUACCAUUAGUUUGGUGGCGCCGGGGAUCGGCUCGAUUACUUUGAGAAAAAUAGAGUGUUCAAAGCAGGCCACACGCCUUGAAUAAGUUAGCAUGGAAUAAUAACUAAGGACUUCGGUUCUAUUUUGUUGGUGUUCGGGACUGAAGUAAUGAUUGAUAGGGACAGUUGGGGCGGUCUGUAUUCCAAAGCGAGAGGUGAAAUUCUUAGACCUUCGGAAGACAAACAGCUGCGAAAGCGUUCCGCAAGGAUGUUCCCUUUGAUCAAGAACGAAAGUUGGGGGAUCGAAGACGAUCAGAUACCGUCGUAGUCUCAACUAUAAACUAUACCAGCUAGGGAUCGGCCAACGUUAUUCUAUACCGACUUGGUCGGCACCUUAUGAGAAAUCAAAGCAUCUGGGUUCCGGGGGGAGUAUGGUCGCAAGGCUGAAACUUAAAGGAAUUGACGGAAGGGCACCACCAGCCGUGGAGCCUGUGGCUUAAUUUGACUCAACACGGGAAAACUUACCAGGUCCAGACAUAAUAAGGAUUGACAGAUUGAUAGCUCUUUCUUGAUUCUGUGGGUGGUGGUGCAUGGCCGUUCUUAGUUGGUGGAGUGAUUUGUCUGGUUAAUUCCGUUAACGAACGAGACCCCAGCCUGCUAAAUAGCGCGCGUGAGCUUUGCUCGCGGCGAGCUUCUUAGAGGGACUAUGAUGCGCGAUAGCACAUGGAAGUUUGGGGCAAUAACAGGUCUGUGAUGCCCUUAGAUGUUCUGGGCCGCACACGGGCUACACUGGCGCCUGCAACGAGCAUAUCAGCUGGCCCGAGAGGGUCUUGGCUAAUCUUUUGAACCGGCGCCGUGCUUGGGAUUGACCUUUGCAAUUGUUGGUCAUGCAACGAGGAAUGCCUUGUAAACGCGAGUCAUCAGCUCGCAUUGAAUACGUCCCUGCCCUUUGUACACACCGCCCGUCGCUCCUACCGAUGAAUGUUCCGAUGAAAUUUUCGGAGAGUGCCUGUGAACUUGGCUCUGCCUUGCGAACGGGAAGCUCAAAGUCACUUAAUCGAAACAUCAGGAAAUUAAG